Molecule: long non-coding RNA, 1331 nt
Organism: Mytilus californianus (California mussel)
Lineage: Eukaryota; Metazoa; Mollusca; Bivalvia; Mytilida; Mytilidae
Exons: 4
Source: RefSeq, a predicted model, not a curated record
UAAUUGCAGAAUAAAGCUUCCAUUGAAAUAGGUUGAUGCAGAGUCAUUUAACUGAAGCAUCAAAAUAUUCUGGUUGGAGAUUCAUAAUUCAGAUUAAAUGCAAUUGGGCAUUAUAAUAUGAUUGAUUGACUUGUAAUUUAAUAUCACUUUCAAGUAUAAGAUCAAUGGUCAGUUAUAUAUAGUGGUUGAGGAAACCGGAGGGAAUCACCUUGGGUACAUUUUUGUAGGAUAUUGACCAACUUCAAGUCUUGGGUAGGUUAUUGACAAACUUCAAGUCUUUAGUAGGUUAUUGACAAACUUCAAGUCUUUAGUAGGCUAUUGAUAAACUUCAAGUCUUGGGUAGGUUACUGACAAACUUCAAAUCUUUAGUAGGUUAUGGACAAACUUCAAGUCUUGGGUAGGUUAUCGACAAACUUCAAGUCUUUAGUAGGUUAUGGACAAACUUCAAGUCUUGGGUAGGUUAUUGACAAACUUCAAGUCUUGGGUAGGUUAUUGACAAACUUCAAGUCUUUAGUAGGCUAUUGAUAAACUUCAAGUCUUGGGUAGGUUACUGACAAACUUCAAAUCUUUAGUAGGUUAUGGACAAACUUCAAGUCUUGGGUAGGUUAUCGACAAACUUCAAGUCUUUAGUAGGUUAUUGACAAACUUCAAGUCUUUAGUAGGUUAUUGACAAACUUCAAGUCUUUAGUAGGCUAUUGAUAAACUUCAAGUCUUGGGUAGGUUACUGACAAACUUCAAAUCUUUAGUAGGUUAUGGACAAACUUCAAGUCUUGGGUAGGUUAUCGACAAACUUCAAGUCUUUAGUAGGUUAUGGACAAACUUCAAGUCUUGGGUAGGUUAUUGACAAACUUCAAGUCUUGGGUAGGUUAUUGACAAACUUCAAGCCUUGGGUAGGUAACUGACAAACCUCAAGUCUUGGGUAGGUUAUUGACAAACUUAAUUACACUUGCAAGCUGAGUGCACCCUUUUUCAGAUCACAUUAGACCAAAGGUUCAUGUGAGCCAUUUCCAUCACUUGGUGUCCGUUGUCCUAUACUAUUCAACAACAACUGUGCUAAUUUGGACUAAAUUUAGCCCAAUCAUCCUGACAUAAAUUUAGAACAUGGGGGUCAAAUCAUGUUUUGGCCUAUACCUUGAAAAUACAACAGGAUAUACUUUUACCUGAAAUCUGAUUAUCAAUCAGAUUAACAUGAUCUACUAUUCUUUUGGUCAAUGGACUUCUAAUAAGAGUCAUCAAUGAGAAAAUCUUGUAUCAUAUAGUAAGCUAUAUAAGGUCCCUGGCAUAACAAAAUCAAAGCACCAAGGGUGCUAUAGGCAGUUAAUUAAAAAAAA